Molecule: ribosomal RNA, 774 nt
Filed under: uncultured Neocallimastigales
Lineage: Eukaryota; Fungi; Neocallimastigomycota; Neocallimastigomycetes; Neocallimastigales
Description: partial large subunit ribosomal RNA
Rfam family: Eukaryotic large subunit ribosomal RNA
Source: RNAcentral
CAUCACUACGCUAGAUGCAUAUCAAUAAGCGGAGGAAAAGGAACUAACAAGGAUUCCCCUAGUAACGGCGAGUGAAGCGGGAAGAGCUCAAAUUUGAAAUCUUAAAGGGUUUCCCUUUACGAAUUGUAGUUUAAAGAAGUGUUUUCUGUUGGAGUUUUGGUAAAAGUUCUUUGGAAUAGGACAUCAUAGAGGGUGAGAAUCCCGUAUUUGACCAUUAUUUCCAGCUGUGUGAUACACUUUCAAAGAGUCGGAUUGUUUGGGAAUGCAGUCCAAAAUGGGUGGUAAAUCUCAUCUAAAGCUAAAUAUUGGCGGGAGACCGAUAGCGAACAAGUACCGUGAGGGAAAGAUGAAAAGAACUUUGAAAAGAGAGUUAAACAGUACGUGAAAUUGUCAAAAGGGAAGCGUUUGACACCAGUGUUGUUUUCUCGAAAAUCAAUUAAAAAUGAUGGGAUUUUGUGUUGUAUUGACUUUAUCAGCUUUCUGCACUUUUUUCUUAUCUUUUUUAAUGCACUUUUCGUUUAACAAGUCAACAUCAAUUUCUUUUGUUGUAAAAGAGCCAUUGGAAGGUGGCUUUCUUUUCGGAGAAAGUGUUUAUAGCCUUUGGCUUCUGCAAUCGGAGAGAUUGAGGUCUGCAGCGUGGAUCCUUCGGGGUUAGAUGCAUUUGUGCUAAGUUAUAGCCUUUCAUAGACAACUUGUUGACUAUGAUCAGUCAUGUAGCUUACUCGCUUAUGUCAUUUUACCUACGCUUAGGAUGUUGACGAGACUGUCGAUCUC